UUCAGUUUAAGCUUGAAUCUGCACGGAAUCUGCCUCUGCAUGUGAAUGCCUACAUCAACCAAGGGGAAGUGAAUUGGUCUCCUUGUUCCUGUGGCAGCCAUGGACCCCUAUGAUUGGGUGGUCCUCUAGAGGCACUGACACUGAGCCUGAAGGGAAGCUCCCAUCUCUGAUCCAUGAGUGCCUCCAGCCUGGCAGGACCUGGCUCUUCUGGUGGUAUACAGGUGUGUUCUCCAUAUCAUUCCUAGUACUACUCUUCUCACCUAAGGCAGAGCUAUGAUCAUAUAACAGAUCUCUCUGAAACCUUUGCUGGUGCUUCAGGAGAUGAGCACUCUGCUGUGUUCCACUGAAAUAGCUCAACCACAG
This 363-nucleotide long non-coding RNA is filed under the name Gallus gallus (chicken). RNAcentral's name for it is "long non-coding RNA NONGGAT004801". Lineage: Eukaryota; Metazoa; Chordata; Aves; Galliformes; Phasianidae. The record is from RNAcentral.